GGAAGGGCUGUAGCUAAGUGGUAGAACAUCUGCCUUGCAUGCACAGAAGGCCCCAGGUUCAACGCCCUGAUAUCUCCA
Podarcis lilfordi (Lilford's wall lizard) is the source of this 78-nucleotide non-coding RNA. The record is from the annotation of a GenBank genome assembly. NCBI's taxonomy places the organism in Eukaryota, Metazoa, Chordata, Lepidosauria, Squamata, Lacertidae.